UCGUUGGGCCUGACAAACCCAAAGGCGUAAUGAAAGUGAAGGAGGCUUCCUGCUUUCUGAGGGAGGACGGGCUUGCUCGCGAGCAAUCGCGCUUGUCCCCGCACUCCCGGGGCGUCUAUCGCUCAUUGCGAGCGGAGGCGCACCCAGAGCGCACACGUUGGGACCCGAAAGAUGGUGAACUAUGCUUGGCGAGGACGAAGCCAGGGGAAACCCUGGUGGAGGUCCGUAGCGAUUCUGACGUGCAAAUCGAUCGUCGGAGCCGAGUAUAGGGGCGAAAGACUAAUCGAACCAUCUAGUAGCUGGUUCCCUCCGAAGUUUCCCUCAGGAUAGCUGGCGAUCGUGUUCUCGAGUCUCAUCUGGUAAAGCGAAUGAUUAGAGGUCUUGGGGCCGAAACGGCCUCAACCUAUUCUCAAACUUUAAAUGGAUGAGAACCCCGACUUUCUUAACUGUGAAGCCGGGGCUCGGAUC
This 468-nucleotide ribosomal RNA is filed under the name Hydrometra procera. RNAcentral's name for it is "eukaryotic LSU rRNA". It matches the Rfam family "Eukaryotic large subunit ribosomal RNA", at positions 691 to 1114 of the family's 3401-position model. Lineage: Eukaryota; Metazoa; Arthropoda; Insecta; Hemiptera; Hydrometridae. The record is from RNAcentral.